AGGCUAUGGUCAAAUGUAUAGCUAACUUGGUUAAAUGUGUAGCUAACUAAAAAUAAAUCUUAGUUUAGAGCUUGUACUGGGGAAAACAUUUUCAUUUUUUUUCUUUGUGCCAGUCAAAAAUUUCAGUGGAAACAAAAUGAAUGGCUCAGCAGAAAGACAGAAUAUCAAAUGAGUUUCAGACCGAAGUCCCAAAAGGAUGAGCCGAGCUCUUCAAACUAUGAAUUAGAUGGAGUCUUUGAUUCUUGAAAUAAUCAAAUACUGUCUUAUCAGGAUUCUUCACCUCAAACUGGAGCUGUGGACACUUGAAAAGGAGAGAAAAUGAGAUUGAAGCAGUGAGCAGAAGAGAAAAAAAUAGUAUUUUUCAUUCUUGUUUGUAGUCAGUUUUGGUUCCAAAGUGGAUAUCAUCCUAACAAGAGGGUUUACAGCAAAAAAACAAAAAAACAAAAAAACACACACACAAUGGAGAGAUUACAUUUGCAUAUAUUAAUAAUCAGGAGAUAAUAAUGAGGUGGUUGAAAAUCAGCUGCAGCCAGGCUAACCCAGCUAGGUAGCAGAAUUUAUAUAGUCAUGAUCACUUGCUUCUCAGGGAUAUGACAAACACCAAUCAGACCUAUUUUUUUUUUCGUGUCAGGAGCAACCGGAGUUGCUUCUGGAGUGAGAGAAUUGGCCGUCUGCAAGGACGUUGCCCAGGGGAUGUUUUGAUGUUUUUACCAUCCUUGUGGGAGGCUUCUCUCAUGUCCCCGCAUGGAGCUGGAGCUGAAAGAGGGAGCUCAUCUACAUGGGAUUCGAACGUGGCAGCUUUCAGGUCAGCAACCCAACCUUCAAGUAAUGAGGCUUUUAUCCUCUAGGCCACUGGAGGCUCCAUUUUAUCGGGUGGAAAGGGGUCAUAGGUGGAAAAUCCAGUUCUGGAGCCCAAAGGUGUGGGAUGACAGCCACCUCCUCUCCCCAAUCCCCCCCAAACAAACUUUAAAAUGAAAAAAACUUAACACCCCUAAUCAAUAGUUUUAAGUAAGCACCAGAACAGACCUCCAAGCCCCAAACUCCCCUGUUGAAUUUCUUGCUUCUUUCUCCCUAUUAGUCAGAAAAUUUAGGAAAACUCCUUCUCUGAUGCUUUUUAAGAAAGCAAACAAAACAUUUCUAUUUUGCCUAUACACUAGAGUCUCACUUAUCCAAGCUAAACGGGCCGGCAGAAACUUGGAAAAGCAAAUAUCUUGGAUAAUAAGAAGGGAUUAAGGAAAAGCCUAUUAAACAUCAAACUAGCUUAUGGUUUUACAAAUUAAGCAACAAAACAUCAUGUUAUACAACAAAUUUGACAGAAAAAGUAGUUCAAUAUGCAGUAAUGUUAUGUUGUAAUUACUGUAUUUAUGAAUUUAGCACCAAAAUAUCCUGAUAUAUUGAAAACAUUGACUACAAAAAUGACUUGGAUAAUCUAGAAGCUUGGAUAAGCAAGGCUUGGAUAAGUGAGACUCUACUGUAUAUUCUUUUUUGCAAACCAUGUUAAGGACCCUUCUGGGGGCCAAAAAACAAUACAGAAAUAUCUAAAUGAUUUUGAAUUUUCGCUGUCCUAUUUCUGUUAUCAUCCUCAUCUGCUGUGGCCAAUUAUUAUGUCCGUCUAUCUA
Long non-coding RNA from Anolis carolinensis (green anole), 1619 nucleotides. The record is from Ensembl. Lineage: Eukaryota; Metazoa; Chordata; Lepidosauria; Squamata; Anolidae.